GUCCUACAGGCAGCAUAUUGGUAUGACAGCUUCGAACUUCAGAUACAGUCAUAUGCAUCUCAAAGGAAAAUCUUUGCUUGUGAAGAUCCCUUGGUUGUUUCUACUGGACACCAAGAUAAUGGCAUGUACUGCAGAGAGAACUAUGCAGGUCAACGGAAACAGCCUGGGCAGAUCAGUGCAUUCGUAAAUGUGAAACAAGCCCUCACCAUCAUGUUUGGCACUAAGAGGAUUAAUCUGUGAUGUUCAUCGCGCACUCACCUCUGACAGGCAGCAAAGGAGCAGCAAUGACCUGGCGAGAGGAGGGGGCAGGUUAACACACGGUGCUUUUGCUGCUGCCAGCCCAUGAAGCUGUCAUUUGUAAUGCAAACGGGAGGGUGGGAAUGCUCUGCUGUCUGCAUGACUCAGCCUCCGACAUCAAGAGUGGCCCUGAAAAUGGCAUUGAAAUGACGGCAUAACCUGAAGACGAGGAUGUACAAUGACAUUACAACAGUGAAAGG
This 497-nucleotide long non-coding RNA is filed under the name Amazona collaria (yellow-billed parrot). Its description in RNAcentral is "lncRNA (ENSACOG00000003550.1)". The record is from RNAcentral. Lineage: Eukaryota; Metazoa; Chordata; Aves; Psittaciformes; Psittacidae.